GACCAGACUCCUACGGGAGGCAGCAGUGGGGAAUAUUGCACAAUGGGGGAAACCCUGAUGCAGCGACGCCGCGUGAGCGAUGAAGUAUUUCGGUAUGUAAAGCUCUAUCAGCAGGGAAGAAAAUGACGGUACCUGAAGAAGAAGCCCCGGCUAACUACGUGCCAGCAGCCGCGGUAAUACGUAGGGGGCAAGCGUUAUCCGGAUUUACUGGGUGUAAAGGGGGCGCAGACGGCGAUGCAAGCCAGGAGUGAAAGCCCGGGGCCCAACCCCGGGACUGCUCUUGGAACUGCGUGGCUGGAGUGCAGGAGGGGCAGGCGGAAUUCCUGGUGCAGCGGUGAAAUGCGUAGAUAUCAGGAGGAACACCGGUGGCGAAGGCGGCCUGCUGGACUGCGACUGACGUUGAGGCCCGAAAGCGUGGGGAGCAAACAGGAUUAGAUACCCGAGUA
RNAcentral lists this ribosomal RNA (446 nucleotides) under uncultured bacterium. RNAcentral describes it as "partial 16S ribosomal RNA". It matches the Rfam family "Bacterial small subunit ribosomal RNA", at positions 329 to 792 of the family's 1533-position model. The record is from RNAcentral.